AUGCCAGUGCAAUUCCAAUGCCAUUUAUUCCACAGGGAAAGCCCAGGGAGGGGAUGCUCCUUUCAGGAGAGCUGCAGGCUGCGGGUCUGCACUCAAGGCCAGGUCGUUGAUUGCUGUGGAUUCAAACACGGAUUGCUCUUGGGCACAUCACACACCCAGCUCUGGGUUAUGCAGAACUGCUGCACUUUCCAUUUUCGGUGUAUUUUGGAGUUUCAGAACAAAUUACAGCUGCCUCUUUUCUAUCAGACCCCUGUGUCUGGAAUACCAGUGCAAUUCCAAUGCCAUUUAUUCCACAGGGAGGGGAUGCUCCUUUCCCUGACCAGGAGAGCUGCAGGCUCUGGGUCUGCACUCAAGGCCAGGUCACUGCUGUGGAUUCAAACACGGAUUGCUCUUGGCCAUGUCAAUGAGUCGAGAACACCCAGCUCUGGGUUAUGCAGAGCUGCUGCACUUUCCAUUUUCGGUGUAUUUUGGCGUUUCAGAGCAAAUUACAGCCGCCUCUUUUCUAUCAGACCCUGUAUCUGGAAUACCAGUGCAAUUCCAAUGCCAUUUAUUCCACAGGGAGAGCCCAGGGAGGGGAUGCUCCUUUCAGGAGAGCUGCAGGCUCUGGGUCUGCACUCAAGGCCAGGUCACUGCUGUGGAUCCAAACACGGAUUGCUCUUGGCCAUGUCAAUGAGUCGAGCACACCCAGCGCUGGGUUAUGCAGAGCUGCUGCACUUUCCAUUUAUAGUGUAUUUUGGAGUUUCAGAACAAAUUACAGCUGCUUCUUUUCUAUCAGACCCCUGUGUCCUGGCUUAGCCUGCUCCCCUCUCCUCAAAGCCUGGGUACAAAUCACCCGGUGAUCCUGACUGCUAAUGAAACCUGGAUUAAAUUAGCGUGCCGCUCAGUUGUCAGUGUUCUCAGUGGGUUUAUCUCCCUGUGGGAUCUCAG
This 927-nucleotide long non-coding RNA is filed under the name Zonotrichia albicollis (white-throated sparrow). Its description in RNAcentral is "lncRNA (ENSZALG00000008027.1)". Lineage: Eukaryota; Metazoa; Chordata; Aves; Passeriformes; Passerellidae. The record is from RNAcentral.